AUCCAAGCAGAUGCAGACCAGGCUUCUUCCCACAUAGAGCUUGUGGACAUCACCCCUAACACAGAGGCAGACCCGGCUUCUUUCCACCUAGUUGUUGUGGACAUCCUUUGACACAGAGGUAGACCGGGCCUAUUCCCAGCUGGAGGUUGUGGAAGUCACCCCUAAUAUAGAGGUAGAACCCGUCUCUUCCCACUUGGAAGUUGUGGACAUCACCCGUAACACAGAGGCAGACCCGGCUUGUUCUCAGCUGGAGGUUUUGGACCUCUCCCCUAACACAAAUGCAUACCCGGCUUCUUCACUCUUGGAGGUUGUGGACGUCACACCUGAAGAAAAGCCUCUCAUGGUGGCCGUCUCC
Long non-coding RNA from Coregonus clupeaformis (lake whitefish), 355 nucleotides. RefSeq lists it as uncharacterized. The transcript has 3 exons. Lineage: Eukaryota; Metazoa; Chordata; Actinopteri; Salmoniformes; Salmonidae. The record is from RefSeq and is a predicted model, not a curated record.